This is a long non-coding RNA of Thalassophryne amazonica, 1637 nucleotides long. RefSeq lists it as uncharacterized. The record is from RefSeq and is a predicted model, not a curated record. NCBI's taxonomy places the organism in Eukaryota, Metazoa, Chordata, Actinopteri, Batrachoidiformes, Batrachoididae. The transcript is spliced from 2 exons.
GGUUUCUGUCCCUCUGACAGUUCGUCUCGGUGCCAUGUUGGCAUACACGCCUCUGGAUGAGAAGAGUCUGGCUUUGCUGCUCAGUUACCUCCAGGACUUUCUCAGGUACCUGGUGAAGAAUUCAUCCACCCUCUUCAGUCCCAGCGACUACGAGGUCGCACCUCCAGAGUAUCACCGCAAGGCCGUCUAACAACCUGAUGACACCAUACCAUUCAGCAGAACAUUAGAAGAUCUGGUCGAUGGUCCUACAAACAUCUCAGGAGUCUCACUGAACACAGAAAAUGUCUGGGGCAACUUUUUUUAACAGACUCUUUUCCAGUUUCUCUUCUUUCAUAGAAAAAAACUGCUGUUUCCGUGGUGACGAGUUAAGAAGCCGCUUGUUGGCUUAAAUCUGUUCAUUCCACCCGACAUUUUUACUGAGGUUUUGGGAAAACAUGGACUAGUUUGACAUUAUCCUGACAUAAAUAAUUUAUAAUAACUGUUGUUCAUUAUCCAGAGCACUCAGAGUACAUCAGCCUGUCUCCGUAACUGAUCCUAGUCCUAAUCCAGAUCUGAUCAGAGUUAGACUUGUUCACUUUCUGCAGGAUUUGAGUGACUGACAGGUUUAACCAAAUUCAGUGUUGAAAUUAAAGUGUUGAAAAAUGCUGACUGUGUUAAAGUGUUCAGAAAUCCAGAUCAUCACCAAAAUGAGACGCAUUUGUCUUUUUAAGGUUGAUCCUUCACAUGGGUUUCAUUAAGAUUUAACUUAAUCCUGCUAAUUGACAAAAGUUAGUCAUCAUACGUCGUUGCUUGAGGUAAUAAUUAGGAUUAUUUGUAAGAAAACACUUUCAAAGCAAAUUCUAAAAUGAACAGUUUACUGCUGAGUGCAUGCAAACACAACAGCGCCCCCUUUGGUGUGAGCAGCAGAGAGUGUUUCCGCUGCAGUGAGCGUAAUGUAAGCGACACACUUUCUUCUUCUCUGCGCCUUUGGCUGUUUCACAGCUCCGUGUGCUACAACAGGAAAACAGAAACAUCUCUGCUGUGUGCAGAAAAAACAUCAAACCAUUAUUAGAUCAUUGCUUCUAAAUCACUGAUAUGUCAGUUAAAUGUUUAACAAAUGACAUGUUUUCAAAUAAAGCAGGAUUAAAUCCAGGUUGAGGACAGCAGCUGCACUGUGCGAUGGCCCACAGUGAUAUUUAAAAAUAUUGAUCGGGUUAGUGUUGACAAAAUUUUAAAAACGUGCAUGAACACUAGUGAAAAAGAUUUACAGCUUUAUUAUUUGUCUUUAAUGGAAACUACAAUUCACAGUGUAGUUUCUCUUUCCAGUGUUGUUUCAUGUUUCUACAGUAAAAAAAAUUCAUCUUAUUGACAUUUAUUUUCUCAUCUUUAUAUUCAUUUGUACGUGACAUAUGAAAGUCGUUGUGUUACUUUGAUAUUGUGAUAUUUGGGUCACAGGUAAUUUUUUUUCUUUCUUUUUUUUAAGUAGGUGCUGUGUAAUGAAAUUCAUAAGCUACAUUUGUAAAGUAAUCCUGACCUAUUUUUGCAUGUGUGUAUUUAUUAGUGUUGUUUCUGCCAGAUGUGAAAUUAAUGUUGAACCAGUCAGUUUUUGUACCUUUUUUCUACCAUUUUUUGUUUUUUAAAGAAAUGAUUGCACUCUG